RNAcentral lists this ribosomal RNA (351 nucleotides) under uncultured Flavobacterium sp. RNAcentral's name for it is "bacterial SSU rRNA". It matches the Rfam family "Bacterial small subunit ribosomal RNA", at positions 1 to 357 of the family's 1533-position model. The record is from RNAcentral. Lineage: Bacteria; Pseudomonadati; Bacteroidota; Flavobacteriia; Flavobacteriales; Flavobacteriaceae.
UCGAGAGUUUGAUCCUGGCUCAGGAUGAACGCUAGCGGCAGGCUUAACACAUGCAAGUCGAGGGGUAUAGUUCUUCGGAGCUAGAGACCGGCGCACGGGUGCGUAACGCGUAUGCAAUCUACCUUUUACAGAGGGAUAGCCCAGAGAAAUUUGGAUUAAUACCUCAUAGUAUGUGAGAAUCGCAUGGUUUUUCACAUUAAAGUCACAACGGUAAAAGAUGAGCAUGCGUCCCAUUAGCUAGAUGGUAAGGUAACGGCUUACCAUGGCAACGAUGGGUAGGGGUCCUGAGAGGGAGAUCCCCCGACACUGGUACUGAGACACGGACCAGACUCCGUACGGGAGCAGCAGUGA